Molecule: long non-coding RNA, 1917 nt
Organism: Tribolium castaneum (red flour beetle)
Lineage: Eukaryota; Metazoa; Arthropoda; Insecta; Coleoptera; Tenebrionidae
Exons: 3
Source: RefSeq, a predicted model, not a curated record
AUUUUUUGUAUCAAGUGUUUUGUGACUUUUGUAUAUUUGACUGCGUAUACAGCCUGUAUAUUGUUAUGAAACGAGUAAUAUUCAACAACUUACAUCGGUUAAGAGGUCUUAAAAAAUCGGAAAAUUUGAUUGAUAUUAACAUGUCAACAAAAUUUUCACAACACUCUUGACCAUGUUCUUAUUUAGACAGCAUUUAACUUACUUGAUUAUAUCCUAGAGUACGGAAGAACAGACAGCCCCCUCAAAAUUUAUCACAAAAACGGCCUUGAGACAACCUGUCGAUCAACAGGAGAGGCAAUUGUAGACAAAGUCGUUUUUUUUAAUCUUGAGAGUUUGCUUCAUUGUUUGGUCUACAUAGUAUUUUUUACAGGUUAGUUGGAGAAAUAAGUGAGGUUAGAUUUUCCUCAGACCAUGGAGUAAAUAACAAGAUGGAACGUGGAAAAAUAAAUUGGCUAGUUCCAGGCAAUAAAUAUGCUAACAUUUCUUAGGAAAUUGCAAUUUUAGGAAAAUUCUUCGAAAAAAACUUCAAAAAUUUGCUUAAUACUCAAAAAAGACAGGCUUAGACAAAGGUACCUAACAUGUUCGGUUUAAUUUUAUCAUUUUUGACUUGUUUUAAUCAAAAUUUUGCGAAAUUGCUUUUGUGACUGUAGAAAAGACUAAAAUUCGCUAAAAAGACAAAUCUAAUUAUUGCCUCGCUUCGACUGAAACAACGAAAAUAGCAAAUAUAAAAAAAUAGUUUUUACCAGAAAAAUGUGCUAAAAAUCUCUAAAAAAAAUGAUUUUAAGAUUUAUCUGUAUCAUUUUUAGUGCAUUUUUAAUGAAAUAUUUUUAAUGACAAACGUGUUGAAACAACAAAAAUAAUGAAAUUUUUAAAUGAAUUUAGUAAUUUUCCAAGACAAAACAAUUUCUAAGAAGAUUUUCAUCAUCGAACUUUCAAGGUUUACUUUUUUACCAAAUUUCGACUCAGUCAAAUUAUAUUAAAAUGUUCGAUAAAGACAAAAAAUCAAUGUAGUUCAUGAUCCGAUAUAAUGUUUUCAUAAAAAAAAUUAAGUUAAUGGUUUUUUCAGGCAGUUUUCACAACUGACAAUAAAAUAAAUCUCUGGUACAAAAAUAAACACGGUUGCACGAAGUAUAAGUAAAAAAAUAAGAUCAAUUUCCGUCCAUUUCGAAAUUUUUGAGGCAAUUUUAACUUAACAUUCUGUUUAUACCUCAAAACUCAGCUUAAAUAUACAUAAAAAAAUUGCGAAAUAAUUGCGUUUGUGACUGUAGAAGAAACUAAAAUGCUCUAAAAAGACAAAUGUAAUUAUUGUCUUGCUUCUAGUGAAACAACGAAAAUAACAAAUUUAAAAAAAAUAGUUUUUACCACAAAAAUGUGAGAAAAAAUUCUAAAAAAAUCAUUUUUAGAUUUAUCUGUAUCAUUUUUAAUGAAAUGUUUCUAACGACAAACGUGUUAAAACAAACAAAAAUAAUGAAAAUUUUAAUUGAAUUUUGUGAUUUUCCAAGACAAAACAAUUUCUAAGGAGAUUUUCAUCAUCGAACUUUGAAGACUUCCUUUUUUACCAAAUUAUAUUAUAAAGACAAAAUCAAGUAGUUUGUGAUCGAUGGUGUUUUUCAAAAAAAAAAAAAAACAAAUAAAAUUAGGUUAAUGGUUAUGUAUUUUUCAGGCUGUUUUCACAACUGACAAUAAAAUAAAUCUCUGGUACAAAAAUAAACAGAGUUGAGUAAAAAAUAAGAUCAAUUUCGAAAUUUUUUAAGGCAAUUUUAACAUUCUGUUUUUAUCUCAAAACUCAGCUUAAAUACUCACAAAACGCCUUUUUUAUUAAAAAAUUUGAAAAAAUAAAAUUUUAUGUCUUAAUGCAAGUAUUGUUUCAGCCAGUUGUGGUAAAAUUGUUCAAAAAAAACACAUUUUUGCAACAAA